UACGUAGGUGGCAAGCGUUGUCCGGAAUUAUUGGGCGUAAAGCGCGCGCAGGUGGUUUAAUAAGUCUGAUGUGAAAGCCCACGGCUCAACCGUGGAGGGUCAUUGGAAACUGUUAAACUUGAGUGCAGGAGAGAAAAGUGGAAUUCCUAGUGUAGCGGUGAAAUGCGUAGAGAUUAGGAGGAACACCAGUGGCGAAGGCGGCUUUUUGGCCUGUAACUGACACUGAGGCGCGAAAGCGUGGGGAGCAAACAGGAUUAGA
This 259-nucleotide ribosomal RNA is filed under the name uncultured Caryophanales bacterium. RNAcentral's name for it is "uncultured Bacillales bacterium partial 16S ribosomal RNA". It matches the Rfam family "Bacterial small subunit ribosomal RNA", at positions 524 to 782 of the family's 1533-position model. The record is from RNAcentral. Lineage: Bacteria; Bacillati; Bacillota; Bacilli; Caryophanales.